RNAcentral lists this long non-coding RNA (478 nucleotides) under Brassica rapa (field mustard). RNAcentral describes it as "long non-coding RNA (BRAP_LNC001337)". Lineage: Eukaryota; Viridiplantae; Streptophyta; Magnoliopsida; Brassicales; Brassicaceae. The record is from RNAcentral.
UAGAUGUGGAAACCAUUUGGUCAAGUUUAAGAAUUUAAAGGGUUUUUUUUUGUAUUCUAUAUGGGGUUUGAUUUUUUUUUUAAAGAUUCAUAUUAAUUAAUGUGACGCUUAUCUAGAUUAUAUACUAUUUUGAAAAAAUCAUUGUUUACGAUAAUUUUGUAUGAUAUGGAGGUAAAUAUUUAUUCUAUAUAUUAUGUAGAAAAAACUGAUGCAAGAUUCAAAAUCACUCCACAAUUUUACAAACAAUGAUCAAUAAUCAUCGAUAAAAACUGAUGAAGGUGGUAGUGAUGAUAGGCGAUCGACAUUUUCAAUCUGGUUGAGUUGAUGGACUCACUCAAGGGAAAUUGCCACAAAUACCACAUUCAUAAUACCACUUUUCAUGUUUACACUAACCACUUUUACCUUUACUUUUAAUGAAGUGUAAAAUACAAUUAUACCCUUAGGAUUAACUAAUCUAGACUUAGGGUUUAGAGUUGAG